AUGACGAUCCUAAGUUGGAACUGUCGAGGCCUCGGGCAACCUCGAACAGUUCAGGAACUCGUGUGUCUCAUGCACACGUACAAGCCCAAGCUCGUCUUCCUCUCUGAAACCCGGCAAAAGAAUAAAUAUGUCAGCAAUCUGAAGUGGAGGAUAGGCCUUCGCCACUGUAUCACGCAAUCCGGCACUGGUAAAGGUGCCGGCAUUGCCCUCUUUUAUGAUGAGAAUAUUGAAAUAAAGAAGAUUGCCGCAGGGGCGAGAUACAUCGAUGUGUUAGUCCGUAUGAACCCUCAUGGCCUCCAAUGGCGGGCUACUUUUGUCUAUGGUGAGCCCAAGGCGCAUGAACGCCACCACAUGUGGACUCUGUUACGAAGGAUAAAAGACACCUCGAACCUGCCAUGGCUUAUGAUCGGUGAUUUCAAUGAGACAAUGUGGCAAUCUGAGCAUAUAUCAGCGUCGAAAAGAUCAGAGAAACACAUGGAAAAUUUUAGGAGUGUGCUCUCAGACUGCAAUCUUUUUGAUGUGGGUUUCAAGGGGCCGGUGUGAACAUAUAACAACAAACAGGAAGGUUUGAAGAAUGUACGAGCUCGCUUGGACAGAGGAGUAGCUUCACCUGCGUGGAUGGACCACUACAAAGAGGCUAGGUUGGAACAUAUCUGUUCAUCACGAUCAGACCACCUUCCUAUCCUGUUGCGGCUA
Molecule: ribosomal RNA, 696 nt
Filed under: Triticum aestivum (bread wheat)
Lineage: Eukaryota; Viridiplantae; Streptophyta; Magnoliopsida; Poales; Poaceae
Description: partial small subunit ribosomal RNA
Source: RNAcentral